Molecule: ribosomal RNA, 253 nt
Filed under: uncultured bacterium
Lineage: Bacteria
Description: partial 16S ribosomal RNA
Rfam family: Bacterial small subunit ribosomal RNA
Source: RNAcentral
UACGGGGGGGGUAAGCGUUGUUCGGAAUUACUGGGCGUAAAGGGCUCGUAGGCGGCCAACUAAGUCAGACGUGAAAUCCCUCAGCUUAACUGGGGAACUGCGUCUGAUACUGGAUGGCUUGGAUUCGGGAGAGGAAUGCGGAAUUCCAGGUGUAGUGGUGAAAUGCGUAGAUAUCUGGAGGAACACCGGUGGCGAAGGCGGCAUUCUGGACCGACAUUGACGCUGAGGAGCGAAAGCCAGGGGAGCAAACGGG